UCUAUUUAAUUUUUUCUUUCAGCUUUUUUUCUGGAAAUAAAAUCUUCCACAUAAGAAGACAUACCUUCGAUAAUCUCGAAAAGUUGUCUUUUAUAGAUUUGAGUUACAACAGGAUUAUUCGCAUGGAUGAAAAAACAUUUCAUUCGCUUCCAUCCCUUCAUACUUUGCGACUCUAUAUGAAUUUUAUCAAGGACAUUGAAAAGGAAACAUGGAUUGAUGUGGACAGAUUGAAAUUCCUG
Exaiptasia diaphana is the source of this 239-nucleotide long non-coding RNA. RefSeq lists it as uncharacterized. Lineage: Eukaryota; Metazoa; Cnidaria; Anthozoa; Actiniaria; Aiptasiidae. The record is from RefSeq and is a predicted model, not a curated record. The transcript is spliced from 3 exons.